This 970-nucleotide long non-coding RNA is filed under the name Monodelphis domestica (gray short-tailed opossum). RNAcentral describes it as "lncRNA (ENSMODG00000040005.1)". Lineage: Eukaryota; Metazoa; Chordata; Mammalia; Didelphimorphia; Didelphidae. The record is from RNAcentral.
AUGAGAGAAAAUUUCUCUUGGAAAGCAUUCUCUCCUCUUCUUCCUCUUGCCCUCUAUCCCUCUUUUCCCCUCUCCUUUCCAUCCUUCCUUCCUUCCUUCCCUCCUUUUCUCUAUCCCUCUUUUCCCCUCUCCUUUCCAUCCUUCCUUCCUUCCUUCCCUCCUUUUCUCUCUCUCCCUCUCUUUUCCCCUCUCCUUUCCAUCCUUCCUUCCUUCCCUCCUUUUCUCUCUCUCCCUCUCUCCCUCUCUCUCCUUUCCCCUUCCACUUUAGAUGGAAGGGAAGGAAGGGAGGAAAGGGAGGAAGGGGAGGGAGGGGAGGGAGGGGAGGAAGGAAGGAAACAUAGUUACCCUAUGAAGGAAGUAAUUUUAAGAAGUAUGAGACAUUACACCAGAGAGAAAAGCUGUCUAUAGACUCUAGAAAGCACCAGCUCUCAGAGUCUAGAAGAGAGUUACACUUAAGGGGCACUUUAUUAGCAGUCUAUGAAAGAAAAAAAGGACUUUUAGCCUUGGAGAAAUGUUAGUUACUCAUGUCAUUUCUAGUCCCAUAACUGCAGCCAACAAAAAUCUGUAGUUUCUAUUACUGCUGUCAACAUUUGCUUUUGGAGUCACUGUGUCUCAUUCAUCACUUACAUUAUGGCUCUUUCAAAAUGGAAUAUCUAAAGCCGACUUUUACUGAGUUAUGGCAGAGUUGUAGUUUGAGAUUAUUUCCUUUUGUUCGUGAUCCAUAACUUCAAUUUCCAUACAAAGUUACUCAAUGAACACUUAAAUUCAUCCUGAGAACAAUUUAUCAUUAGAUUUUUUAAAGAAUCAUAAAGGGGGGGGGCGCUGUGUAGGUCAGUGUAUUGAGAGCCAAGCCUAGAGAUCGGAAGUCCUAGGUUCAAAUCUGGCUUCAGCCACUUCCCAGCUGUGUGAACCUGGACAAGUCACUUGACCCCCAUUGCCUAGCCCUUACCACUCUUCUGCCUUGGAGCCA